CUCUGAUUGCUGGGGCGAGGACUUCCAAAACUAUGUUGAAGAGUAAUGGCGAGAGCAGACAUCCUUGUCUUGUUCCUGAUCUCAGCAGGAAUUCUUUCAGCUUUUCACCAUUGAGAAUGAUGUUGGAGGUGGUUUUGUCAUAUAUGGCCUUUGUUACAUUGAGGUAGAUGCCCUCUAUGCCCGCUUUCUGAAAGGUUUUUAUCAGAAAUGGGUGUUGGAUUUUGUCAAAGGCUUUUUUCUGCAUCUAUUGAGAGGAUCAUAUGGUUUUUAUUCUUCCGUUUGUUAAUGUGGUGUCUCACACUGGUGGAUUUGUGGAUAUUGAAGGAUCUUUGCAUCCCUGGGAUAAAUCCCACUUGAUCAUGAUGUCCAAUCCUUUUCAUGUAUUGUUGGAUGUGGUUUGCUAGUAUUUUGCUGAGGAUAUUCGCAUUGAUGUUCAUCAGUGAAAUCGGCCUGUAGUUUUCUUUUUUUGUGGUAUCUUUGUGUGGUUUUGGUAUCAGGGUGAUGGUGGCCUCAUAGAAUGAAUUUGGGAGUAUCCCUUCCUCUGCAAUUUUUUGAAAUAGUUUCAGAAGGAUAGGUGUUAGCUCUUCUCUAAAUGUUUGAUAGAAUUCGCCUGUGAAGCCAUCUGGUCCUGGACUUUUGUUUGUUGGAAGUUUUUUAAUCACAGUUUCAAUUUCAGUUCUUGUGAUGGGUCCAUUCAUCUUUUCUAUUUCAUCUUGGUUUAGUCUUGGAAGAUUGUACUUUUCUAAGAAUUUGUCCAUUUCUUCUAGGUUUUCCAUUUUAUUGGCAUAUAGUUGCAUAUAGUAGUCUCUUAUGAUCCUUUGUAUUUCUGUGAUGUCCGUUGUUACUUCUCCUUUUUCAUUUCUAAUUUUAUUGAUUUGAGUCCUCUCUCUUUUUUGCUUGAUAAGUCUGGCUAGGGGUUUAUCAAUUUUGUUGAUCUUUUCAAAGAACCAGCUUUUCGUUUCAUUGAUCUUUUCUAUGGUUUUCUUUGUUUCUAUUUCAUUGAUUUCUGCUCUGAUCUUUAUGAUUUCUUUCCUUCUACUAACUUUAGGUCUUGUCUGUUCUUCUCUCUCGAGCUGCUUUAGAUGUAAAGUUAGCUUGUUUAUUUGAGCUUUUUCUUGUUUCCUGAGGUGGGCUUGUAUUGCUAUAAACUUUCCUCUUAGAACGGCUUUUGCUGCAUCCCAUAGGUUUUGGAGUGUCGUAUCUUCGUUGUCAUUUGCUGCUAGGUAUUUUUUAAUUUCCUCUUUGAUUUCUUCAGUGAUCCAUUGGUUGUUUAGUAGCAUGUUGUUGAGUCUCCACGUGUUUGUGUUUUUUGCAGUUUUUUUCUUGUUGUUGAUUUCCAGUCGUAUAGCGUUGUGGUCGGAAAAGAUGCUUGAUAUGAUUUCAAUUUUCUUAAAGUUACUGAGGUUGGAUUUGUAGCCCAGGAUAUGAUCAAUCUUAGAGAAUGUUCCAUGUGCACUUGAGAAGAAUGUGUAUUCUGUUGCUUUUGGAUGGAAUGUCCUAUAAAUAUCUAUUAAGUCCAUCUGGUUUAAUGCUUCAUUCAGGGCCUGUGUUUCCUUAUUGAUUUUCUGUCUGGUUGAUCUGUCCAUUGCUGUAAGUGGGGUGUUAAAGUCCCCCACUAUGAUUGUGUUAUUGUCGAUUUCUCCUUUUAAGGUUGUUAGCAGUUGCCUUAUAUAUUGUGGUGAACCUGUGUUGGGUGCGUAGAUAUUUAAAAUUGUUAUAUCAUCUUCUUGGAUUGAUCCUUUGAUCAUUAUGUAAUGUCCUUCUUUGUCCCUUAAAAUAUUCUUCAUUUUAAAGUCUAUUUUGUCUGAUAUGAGUAUUGCUACUCCAGCUUUCUUUUGAUCCCCGUUUGCAUGAAAUAUUUUCUUCCAUCCUCUCACUUUCAAUUUGUAUGUGUCCCUAGAAGUGAAGUGGGUCUCUUGAAGACAGCAUAUAUAUGGGUCUUGUUUUUGUAUCCAUUCAGCCAGUCUAUGUCUUUUGGUUGGGGCGUUUAGUCCAUUCACAUUUAAGGUAAUUAUUGAUAUGUAUGUUCUUAUUGCCAUUUUAUUAAUUACUUUGGAUUUGUUUUUGCUGCUCUUUUUCCUUUCCUUCUUCUCUUGUUCUUUUCUGCCUAUAGAAGUUCCUUUAGUAUUUGUUAGAUUCCUUGUUUGUGUAUCAAUUGUAGAUUUUUGGUUUGCAGUUAUUCUGAAGUUUUGAUGUAAGAGUCUAUAUGUAUAUGAGAUUGUUUUAAGUUGUUGUUCUCUUAAUUGCAAGUUCAUCUCCAGUGUCCCGCAUUUAUACCCACCUCUUCUCAUGAUUUCUGAUUUUGAUGGUAUAAUUGUGCAUGGUUGAUUUCGUAUCUUUACUGUAUAUAUACCUUUACUGGUGAGCCUUGUCAUUUGUGGAAUUUUUGUUUCCUGUUGCUGAUCUUUUCUUUCCUGCCUAGAGAAGUUCCUUCAGUAUUUGUUGUAAGGCUGGUUUAGUGUUGCUGAAUUCUCUCAGCUUUUGCUUAUCUGAGAAGGUUUUUAUUUCUCCUUCAAAUCUGAAUGAGAGCCUUGCUGGGUAGAGUCAUCUUGGUUGGAGGUUUUCUUCCUUUCAUCACGUUAAGUAUA
This 2588-nucleotide long non-coding RNA is filed under the name Sus scrofa (pig). RNAcentral's name for it is "lncRNA (ENSSSCG00050000409.1)". Lineage: Eukaryota; Metazoa; Chordata; Mammalia; Artiodactyla; Suidae. The record is from RNAcentral.